This 727-nucleotide ribosomal RNA is filed under the name Vernicia montana. RNAcentral's name for it is "eukaryotic LSU rRNA". The stretch from base 322 to 477 matches the Rfam family "5.8S ribosomal RNA". Lineage: Eukaryota; Viridiplantae; Streptophyta; Magnoliopsida; Malpighiales; Euphorbiaceae. The record is from RNAcentral.
AGGAAGGAGAAGUCGUAACAAGGUUUCCGUAGGUGAACCUGCGGAAGGAUCAUUGUCGAAACCUGCACAGCAGAACGACCCGCGAACGUGUUAUUCUACACACGGGUGCUCGGGGGGGCUCCGGCCCUCUCGCUGCCCCGAGUGCUGGGCGGAGCGACGCGAGGAGCUGCCUCGCGCCCUCCCCGUGCGCUCUUCCCAGCUAAACAACCAACCCCGGCGCAGGACGCGCCAAGGAAAAAUGAAACGAAAUGAGCGCGCUCCCGUCGGCCCCAGAAAUGGAACAGCCCUCGGGACGCGUCGACCUCUUUCGAGAACCAAAACGACUCUCGGCAACGGAUAUCUCGGCUCUCGCAUCGAUGAAGAACGCAGCGAAAUGCGAUACUUGGUGUGAAUUGCAGAAUCCCGCGAACCAUCGAGUCUUUGAACGCAAGUUGCGCCCGAAGCCUUUUGGCCGAGGGCACGCCUGCCUGGGUGUCACGCAACCGUCGCUCCAACCCCCUCUGCCCUUGGCGAGGGGUGCGGGGCGGAUUAUGGCCUCCCGAGCGCUCAUCGCUCCCGGUUGGCCCAAAAUUUGAGUCCCCGGCUAUGAACGCCACGACAAUCGGUGGUUGCAAGACCUUCGGACACAGUCGUGUGCGCCCGUCGGCCCAUGAACUCACAGACCCGUUGCGUACCGAAGUGCACGCUCCCAUUGCGACCCCAGGUCAGGCGGGAACACCCGCUGAGU